Molecule: transfer RNA, 77 nt
Filed under: Pseudomonadales bacterium
Lineage: Bacteria; Pseudomonadati; Pseudomonadota; Gammaproteobacteria; Pseudomonadales
Also listed under: 4 other names
Description: tRNA-Arg
Rfam family: tRNA
About the family: Transfer RNA (tRNA) molecules are approximately 80 nucleotides in length. Their secondary structure includes four short double-helical elements and three loops (D, anti-codon, and T loops).
Source: RNAcentral
CCGCCCAUAGCUCAAUUGGAUAGAGCAUCCGCCUUCUAAGCGGAAGGUUCCAGGUUCGAGCCCUGGUGGGCGGACCA